GAUAACUGAAAUUUGAGCAUACUAACUAUAUUUGAAUAAUAAUCUUAUAGACUGAUGCUUAACUUCUUUUUUACUACGCUGAUAUGAACAAUCAAGACGAUGGUAAAAACUAAGAAUAUUGUUUAAAUUUAAUGAUAUUAGCUGUCAAGACCAUUUGAAAAUAUAAAAUGAAAACUAAAAAUAUCCGAAAAGAAUAAUUGUUCAUUCGCAAUGCUCGCAUUUGUUUUUUCGACAAUUUCCAGUCGGUCUCGCAUUUAGAAGCAUUGUGACAAAGGUUGAGCAGUAAAUGUAUGUAACUCGUUAAAAAUAAAUCAUUUUAUAGUGUUAGUACAUGUUAAAUAUUUUAAAUUCGUAUAAGUUAUACAAACUUGGCAUUGUCAUUUUUUGAAAUAUUUUUAUGAGUUGGAUUUCAUUUGUCAUUAUUAUGAAUACAUUUAGAUUUUGUGGUAACGUGCUUAUUUAUAAAGAAUACACACGAAGAACCUGAAUAUACAUUUUGCGCUAAAAUCACCGUUCAACGUUAAGAAAAGUUUGAACAAUUAAGUUUCAAUUGCAGUGUUAAUAUAACCAACAAUAUAAAGAUUUGUCUGUUCCUUGAUACAACAUAAUGAAAAAGGAAACCUUUCGUAAAUCAUUUAUUUGAAAUUUUGCGUAAAUGUAUUGUUUUCAAAUUAAAAGCAAUUAGAUUAUGUAAUUAUGACGUAAAACAAAAACAAAACUAGAAGCAACGGGACAUUGAACGUUCAUGACCGUUGCAAUUGGUAUCUACCCUGACACUAUAUUGCUUCCCUUUCGUAGCAAUGGUAAUAUAUGCAAAAUACUUCUAAAUAUAGGUUACUGGAAUUUUUGUGAUGUAUAUAUAGUUUUUAUGAAGUCUGAUUUAUAAAUAUUUAUACAUAUAAGUAACAUGUUAUUUCAGUAUUUUAGUUAGAUCAUGAAUACCAUUUCAGAGUAAAGGUACUUGUAAAAGAAAAAAGUUAUCAAAAGCACAAUGAAUAUAUUUGGUUCAACUAUAAUAUACUGACCUCAUUGAAGGAACAUAGCAUAUUAUAUAAGAGAAUCUUGGCGUUAACAGACAGAUGAAUAAAACGGUGCUUGUAUAUAAUUGUUAAACAAUACUCAAACGAAUCGAGUAAAAAAGUAAAAGACUGAAACAAGAACAUGUAACUUAAUUUUUUAUGAAAAUAUUUUGAAUAAAAUGACAUACAUUUGGUCAGAAAACAUGAUAUAUCGUACGUUCGUAUUAAUUUGAUCUGUUGACACAAUUUGUAAUGCAUUUUUGUUAUUCAAUUUUUACUUAUUUUGUGUUA
Long non-coding RNA from Mytilus californianus (California mussel), 1310 nucleotides. RefSeq lists it as uncharacterized. The record is from RefSeq and is a predicted model, not a curated record. NCBI's taxonomy places the organism in Eukaryota, Metazoa, Mollusca, Bivalvia, Mytilida, Mytilidae. The transcript has 2 exons.